GAUGAAGAACGCAGCGAAAUGCGAUAAGUAAUGUGAAUUGCAGAAUUUAGUGAAUCAUCGAAUCUUUGAACGCACAUUGCGCCCGCCAGUAUUCUGGCGGGCAUGCCUGUUCGAGCGUCAUUUCAACCAUCAAGCCCCAGGCUUGUGUUGGGGACCUGCGGCUGCCGCAGGCCCUGAAAACCAGUGGCGGGCUCGCUGUCACCCCGGGCGUAGUAGAUUUUAUCUCGCUCAGGGCGUGCUGCGGGUUCCGGCCGUUAAAAAGCCUUUUUUACCCAAGGUUGACCUCGGAUCAGGUAGGAAGACCCGCUGAACUUAAGCAUAUCAAUAAGCGGAGGA
Molecule: unclassified non-coding RNA, 336 nt
Filed under: soil metagenome
Description: partial contains 5.8S ribosomal RNA, internal transcribed spacer 2, and large subunit ribosomal RNA
Rfam family: 5.8S ribosomal RNA (bases 1-120)
Source: RNAcentral